This 863-nucleotide ribosomal RNA is filed under the name Staphylococcus aureus. RNAcentral describes it as "partial 23S ribosomal RNA". It matches the Rfam family "Bacterial large subunit ribosomal RNA", at positions 1 to 861 of the family's 2925-position model. Lineage: Bacteria; Bacillati; Bacillota; Bacilli; Caryophanales; Staphylococcaceae. The record is from RNAcentral.
GAUUAAGUUAUUAAGGGCGCACGGUGGAUGCCUUGGCACUAGAAGCCGAUGAAGGACGUUACUAACGACGAUAUGCUUUGGGGAGCUGUAAGUAAGCUUUGAUCCAGAGAUUUCCGAAUGGGGAAACCCAGCAUGAGUUAUGUCAUGUUAUCGAUAUGUGAAUACAUAGCAUAUCAGAAGGCACACCCGGAGAACUGAAACAUCUUAGUACCCGGAGGAAGAGAAAGAAAAUUCGAUUCCCUUAGUAGCGGCGAGCGAAACGGGAAGAGCCCAAACCAACAAGCUUGCUUGUUGGGGUUGUAGGACACUCUAUACGGAGUUACAAAGGACGACAUUAGACGAAUCAUCUGGAAAGAUGAAUCAAAGAAGGUAAUAAUCCUGUAGUCGAAAAUGUUGUCUCUCUUGAGUGGAUCCUGAGUACGACGGAGCACGUGAAAUUCCGUCGGAAUCUGGGAGGACCAUCUCCUAAGGCUAAAUACUCUCUAGUGACCGAUAGUGAACCAGUACCGUGAGGGAAAGGUGAAAAGCACCCCGGAAGGGGAGUGAAAUAGAACCUGAAACCGUGUGCUUACAAGUAGUCAGAGCCCGUUAAUGGGUGAUGGCGUGCCUUUUGUAGAAUGAACCGGCGAGUUACGAUUUGAUGCAAGGUUAAGCAGUAAAUGUGGAGCCGUAGCGAAAGCGAGUCUGAAUAGGGCGUUUAGUAUUUGGUCGUAGACCCGAAACCAGGUGAUCUACCCUUGGUCAGGUUGAAGUUCAGGUAACACUGAAUGGAGGACCGAACCGACUUACGUUGAAAAGUGAGCGGAUGAACUGAGGGUAGCGGAGAAAUUCCAAUCGAACCUGGAGAUAGCUGGUUCUCUCCG